RNAcentral lists this ribosomal RNA (253 nucleotides) under uncultured bacterium. RNAcentral's name for it is "partial 16S ribosomal RNA". It matches the Rfam family "Bacterial small subunit ribosomal RNA", at positions 524 to 776 of the family's 1533-position model. The record is from RNAcentral.
GACGUAGGGCGCGAGCGUUGUCCGGAUUUACUGGGCGUAAAGGGCUCGUAGGCGGUUUGUCGCGUCGGGAGUGAAAACACCGGGCUUAACUCGGUGCUUGCUUUCGAUACGGGCAGACUAGAGGUAUGCAGGGGAGAACGGAAUUCCUGGUGUAGCGGUGAAAUGCGCAGAUAUCAGGAGGAACACCGGUGGCGAAGGCGGUUCUCUGGGCAUUACCUGACGCUGAGGAGCGAAAGUGUGGGGAGCGAACAGG